GUUUCCAGUGUUCUGAAGAUAUCAGUGUUGUGGCAAUUACACAGGUGUCACCCAAAACUGCUGACCUUGACCAGCAGAAUGUCAUGUCACCUUGCUGCCCCCUUGACACGUGGCGGAGGGCCGCAGACCCCCUCCCGCGGGCACGUCCGCAGUGCCUGUCUGCUCAGAUAGUCCUGUAGAGGUUACACUCAUUCAUUGGAGAUGGGAGCUUUUUUUUUUUUUUUUGGAGAAAAAUAUAUAUAAAUAUAUAGAUAUAUAUCACUAUAGAAUAAUGCAUUAAUAAAAUGAGGCUUUUUAGAGGAAGACCAAAAAAUUCAAUGUCUUAAAAAUAUAUUUAAUGGCAAUGCAAAAGUCUUCCUGCUUCCAUGCUGAACUUUGAGAACACAGGAUUGUACUGCAAGACAAAGUUGAAUGUAAAGUGAUCCCCCUGAACAUUUUUAAAGUUUUACUUUUCUAAAAUUACACAUCGCAACAGUGUAUAGACCAUAUGAUGUUAGUUUGAAGGUCAAUUUCAGUGUAUGAUACCUACGCUUUAUGAAAAUGUAUAAAAUGUCCUGAAGUUUGGGUUUCAUUUUGGGACUCGGAAUUGAUGGGUGGUAUUGGCUGCGUGGCCCCCGUGCAGUGGGACCGAGUGCGGACCCUGCUGGAUACAGUGUACGUUUGGCGUAGUAAGUAGCAUUCUGUACUCACAGUAGUCUUGGCACUGUUCAUACCGCAGCUUGCAACAAGCAGAAUACAAAGUUGGUAAUAUACUACAUUUUCCUCUAUCCUGUACAUUUCAAAAAAAAAAAAGGCAUAUGCAAUAUUUACAUUUUUAAUUUAGUUUACAGAAUGGAACCAAAAUGUAUAAAUGUUAUGUUUGCUAAAACUUCACAAUGUAUAUUGGGUCUUUGUACAUUUUGCCUGACUUACCUUAAAUUUAAAAUAUUUUUUGCUAUAUAAACUUUAACAGUUAUUAAACAGUGUUUUCUUUUUGGGUACGUAUUGUUUCUGGAUAUCAAGAUGUUAAAUAUAUUUCUUGCUAUUGUGAUAUGACAAAAGACUUACCUUAUCUUGCUCUGUCUUCCACUGCAACACGCUGUAUAUAAGGGUCAAUGUGACGCUGCUGGAGACGACAGUCAAUGGAUCUAGAAUAGUGCAUCGUACUUAGUCUGUAUUGAUCAUGGAUGCUCUCCUUAACAGCCAUAUGCAAUAAAAUAAAAUACAUUAUUUAUGAAAUGAAUAAAGCCUUGAGGAUAUCUUCUUCUGCAUGGAUUCUGAGUUUCACAUAAAGCCACACUCCUCCUGGUGUUUGAGAGUAAAAAAGUAAACACGAAGCUCUUAAAAUACUUUGAUGCCUCUUCAUUUAAAUGUUUUAAUCCCGGAAACCCGAUCAUAUUCCCCAAAUGACAGAAUUUAUGAAAAGGAAAUGUAUUAAGAAAACAAAGAUGUUCUUUCCUUAGCAAACAUACAGACAGUGUGCUGGCUGGAUGCUGUUCGAGGUCCUGCACCAACGCUAACUGCUUUAUGGUCCAUAACAACCAAGGUGGUAGGAGUCACCAGCCCCAUUUUACAGAUGACGCCGCUGGAGCACGGGAGGCG
Long non-coding RNA from Ailuropoda melanoleuca (giant panda), 1581 nucleotides. The record is from Ensembl. NCBI's taxonomy places the organism in Eukaryota, Metazoa, Chordata, Mammalia, Carnivora, Ursidae.